RNAcentral lists this ribosomal RNA (500 nucleotides) under uncultured bacterium. Its description in RNAcentral is "partial 16S ribosomal RNA". It matches the Rfam family "Bacterial small subunit ribosomal RNA", at positions 30 to 523 of the family's 1533-position model. The record is from RNAcentral.
AUUGAACGCUGGCGGCAUGCUUUACACAUGCAAGUCGAACGGUAACAGGGUGCUUGCACCGCUGACGAGUGGCGAACGGGUGAGUAAUGCGUCGGAACGUGCCGAGUAGUGGGGGAUAACGCAGCGAAAGUUGUGCUAAUACCGCAUACGUACUGAGGUAGAAAGUGGGGGACCUUCGGGCCUCACGCUAUUCGAGCGGCCGACGUCUGAUUAGCUAGUAGGUGAGGUAAAGGCUCACCUAGGCGACGCUCAGUAGCGGGUCUGAGAGGAUGAUCCGCCACACUGGGACUGAGACACGGCCCAGACUCCUACGGGAGACAGCAGUGGGGAAUUUUGGACAAUGGGCGUAAGCCUGAUUCAGCCAUGCCGCGUGUCUGAAGAAGGCCUUCGGGUUGUAAAGGACUUUUGUCAGGGAGGAAAUCCCUAGUGCUAAUAACACUGGGGGAUGACAGUACCUGAAGAAUAAGCACCGGCUAACUACGUGCCAGCAGCCGCCGUAA